RNAcentral lists this ribosomal RNA (498 nucleotides) under uncultured bacterium. RNAcentral describes it as "bacterial SSU rRNA". It matches the Rfam family "Bacterial small subunit ribosomal RNA", at positions 28 to 573 of the family's 1533-position model. The record is from RNAcentral.
AACGAACGCUGGCGGCAGGCCUAAUACAUGCAAGUCGAACGAAGCCUUCGGGCUUAGUGGCGCACGGGUGCGUAACGCGUGGGAACGUACCCCUGGGUGCGGAACAACGUCGGGAAACUGACGCUAAUACCGCAUAAUGACACCGGUCCAAAGAUUUAUCGCCCAGGGAUCGGCCCGCGUUAGAUUAGCUAGUUGGUGGGGUAAUGGCCUACCAAGGCUACGAUCUAUAGCUGGUCUGAGAGGAUGAUCAGCCACACUGGGACUGAGACACGGCCCAGACUCCUACGGGAGGCAGCAGUAAGGAAUAUUGGACAAUGGAGGAAACUCUGAUCCAGCCAUGCCGCGUGAGUGAUGAAGGCCUUCGGGUUGUAAAGCUCUUUCAGGUGCGACGAUGAUGACGGUAACACCAGAAGAAGCCCCGGCUAACUUCGUGCCAGCAGCCGCGGUAAUACGAAGGGGCGAGCGUUGUUCGGAAUCACUGGGCUUAAAGCGUGCGUA